CACACUGUAAACGAUGAAUGCCAGGUGUAGGGGGUAUCGACCCCUUCUGUGCCGCAGUUAACACAAUAAGCAUUCCGCCUGGGGAGUACGGUCGCAAGAUUAAAACUCAAAGGAAUUGACGGGGGCCCGCACAAGCAGCGGAGCAUGUGGUUUAAUUCGAAGCAACGCGAAGAACCUUACCAGGUCUUGACAUCCAGGUAAACCCUGAGAGAUCAGGCGUGCCUUCGGGCAAUCUGAGACAGGUGG
RNAcentral lists this ribosomal RNA (246 nucleotides) under uncultured Eubacteriales bacterium. RNAcentral's name for it is "uncultured Clostridiales bacterium partial 16S ribosomal RNA". It matches the Rfam family "Bacterial small subunit ribosomal RNA", at positions 796 to 1041 of the family's 1533-position model. The record is from RNAcentral. Lineage: Bacteria; Bacillati; Bacillota; Clostridia; Eubacteriales.